AAAGAAACCAACAGGGAUUGCCCUAGUAACGGCGAGUGAAGCGGCAACAGCUCAAAUUUGAAAUCUGGCCCUCGGGUCCGAGUUGUAAUUUGUAGAGGAUGCUUUUGGUGAGGUACCUUCCGAGUUCCCUGGAACGGGACGCCAUAGAGGGUGAGAGCCCCGUCUGGUUGGAUACCGAUCCUCUGUAAAGCUCCUUCAACGAGUCGAGUAGUUUGGGAAUGCUGCUCUAAAUGGGAGGUAUAUGUCUUCUAAAGCUAAAUAUUGGCCAGAGACCGAUAGCGCACAAGUAGAGUGAUCGAAAGAUGAAAAGCACUUUGAAAAGAGAGUUAAAAAGUACGUGAAAUUGUUGAAAGGGAAGCGCUUAUGACCAGACUUGGACUUGGUUGAUCAUCCUGGGUUCUCCCUGGUGCACUCUUCCAGUUCAGGCCAGCAUCAGUUCAUCGCGGGGGAUAAAGGCUUUAGGAAUGUGGCUCCUUCGGGAGUGUUAUAACCUAUUGUGUAAUACCCUGCUUUGGACUGAGGUUCGCGCAUCUGCAAGGAUGCUGGCGUAAUGGUCAUCAGCGACCCGUCUUGAAACACGGACCAAGGAGUCGUCUUCGUAUGCGAGUGUUCGGGUGUUAAACCCCUACGCGUAAUGAAAGUGAACGCAGGUGAGAGCUUCGGCGCAUCAUCGACCGAUCCUGAUGUUCUCGGAUGGAUUUGAGUAAGAGCAUACGGGGCCGGACCCGAAAGAAGGUGAACUAUGCCUGUAUAGGGUGAAGCCAGAGGAAACUCUGGUGGAGGCUCGCAGCGGUUCUGACGUGCAAAUCGAUCGUCAAAUAUGGGCAUGGGGGCGAAAGACUAAUCGAACCUUCUAGUAGCUGGUUUCCGCCGAAGUUUCCCUCAGGA
RNAcentral lists this ribosomal RNA (888 nucleotides) under Cylindrocladiella parva. Its description in RNAcentral is "eukaryotic LSU rRNA". It matches the Rfam family "Eukaryotic large subunit ribosomal RNA", at positions 58 to 978 of the family's 3401-position model. Lineage: Eukaryota; Fungi; Ascomycota; Sordariomycetes; Hypocreales; Nectriaceae. The record is from RNAcentral.